AGCCUCCCUCCUCCCUUUGUCUCCCUUGUACUUUACUGCAUAGUGGGAGAGGGGUAGCUAACUUUGGCUAAGCCUGGUACCUGGCAGAGCCAUGCUCUGUUUAUCAGUUCUCCCACUUCUAUUUGCUCCCUCUAGCAAAGGUUUAACUCUUUCAGUCAGAAUUUGUCAGAAAGUUUACUGAGGUCUUCCUGCCAUUAUUUCCCUAUCUGCCCCCUUUCCCUACAAUUGGAUCCAUGAAUACAUUUGCAACUUAAAGGGCUGUUGGGUAGAAACUUUAGGUGGUGAAGUCUAGUUAGAGGAACUAGGUCUAGUUAGAGGAACUAGUUAGAGGAACUAAGGGGGCAUGUCUUUGAAUAUAUUCAGUAUAUUUGUUCCUUCCCUUCCACUUCCUGGUCUUUAUGAAGUGAGGAGCUUUCUGCACCAUGCACUUCUGCUAUAAUGUUCUUCCUUACUAUAGGCCUACAAGCAAUGGAGCCAGCUGACCAUGUACUGAAACUUCCAAAACGAUCUGAAUCCUCCCUUCAUCCUAACAAUUCCAUGGAGAGCUAAAAUACAGCGCAAACUGGACUAUUGACUUCAGCAUUCUGGUCAGAAGGUUAGGAGACAGAAAUGUACUUAAAAAGAAAUCACAUAUGACAGACUACAAAGCAAUAGAAGAGAUAUGAAAGCUGAAUUUGCCUCUCCAGCCCAAGGUUCAUUUUUUGAAUGUCUUUGUGCACUCAUAGUGGCUGAAACUGGCAGCUACCAGAUACCACCCGCUUGAUCUCCAUCCCGCAUUUUCUCCAGCUCCAUUCUUAAACUCUUCUCCCUUCUGAGAUUUCAGCUUCUUGUGUUUCUCUUUUCCUUGUGGCCUUCUACAAUCUUCCGCUCACACAUAACUCAUUGUUUUAAAAAUCUAGGUGCAUUAUUAUUCGAAUAUGGUGAGGCGAACUGUCACUGAAAAGACAGUUUGCUGUACACUCAGACCCCAGGAGAAGGGGCACAUCUUGCCACAGGCAGGUUGCAGAAUAAUAAAGAGGCACGAGGGAUGGUCAGGAAGCAGAGGGAGCUGGAGGAAACAUGGGUACAAAUCUUGGUUGUGUUUUCCACAGGAAGGAAUAUGCAAAGCAUGGUAGGCUGUUGUAGGAUUGGCUAGCUCCUCUGGGACGUAGGAGCUGUCCCUGGCUGUCUAUUACCUGGUUCUGGGGUGGUCAGGGAAGGUGGAUGUUGGCCCAGACUGUAAAGAGCUUGAUAAAGGAGUUGAUCAUUGUGUGGGUGCUGGGGUAGUUUGCACAUGAAAGGAUUCCUAGAAAUUGACUAACUCUGGGAAGGGCAGUGUCUCCAGAGUUAGCCGGGCCCUAGGACAGUGAUGGCAAAGCUUUCAGAUGGUGAACCUUUUAGAGCCCAAGUGCCCAAACUGCAACCUAAAAACCCACUUACUUAUCACAAAGUCCCCAAACUGCAAUUAAACCUGAAUACUGAGGUUUUCAUUUAGGAAAAACAACUCAGACACUUGGUGCCGACAGAGAGGGCACUGCUUCUCCACUGCAGCAUGCCUGCCAGAGGUUCACCACCACUGCCCUAGGAUAUUAAAGCAUCGGAAUAAAAGAGCAUGGUUCACACACAUGUAUUCUUUAGAGAAUAGGAAGAAUUAUAAGAGCAGAACUUUUAUUCAUGUGUCACCAUUUCCCUAUGUGCUAUGAUCAUUAUCUGUCUCUGCUUUUCCUCUUUACUACCCACAAAGGGGUGUGUGUGUGUGUGUGUGUGUGUGUGUGUGUGUGUGUAUAGUAUUGGGUAUGGAACCCAGGAUCUUUACCCUGAGCUUUAUUUCCAAUUUUUUUGUUUUUGAGACAGGAUCUCGCUAAAUUGCUCAGUUGCCCAAGUUGGGCCUAAACUUGCAAUCCUCCUGCCUCAGCCUCCCGGAGUGCUGGGAUUACUGUCAUAUACCACCAUGCCUGGCUACCAAGUUCUUUCUCUUUUAGAAGGUUUACACUGAAAAGAGUAGAAGAGCAAAUGUUAGAAUCCAUGUGGGCUGGAGAUGAUUGAGUGGGGUGACAUGAAAAGAUGAUUGUUACGAUUUCAUUUGGGUAUUUGGGGGAGACAUUUUUAGAAUGUGUAAAUGCUGUCCUCAAGUAAUCUUAUUUCUCCCUCAAGUCCCCCAAAGUACAUGUAUGCAUAGAGAAAUCACUUGCAAAGCCAACCAAUGCUUUAAUUGUAGCCGUGACUUCAGCCCUGAAACAUAAUGCCUCUACAUGAGCUAGGCCAGAUGCUGUCUUGGAGCGAUCUGUCUAGAAUCAAAGCAGACUGGCCUGAUGUCAUUUGUUUUCUUCCCAGAGACUUGAGUGUAUCACUCUGAAGAGAAGACAGACCAUUCCAAACCUCUAGCAAAGGCCAAGGAAUGAGAUAGAGCCUGGGGCCCAUGCUGGAAUGAAACCAGCCUUGACUUUUGACUCUGGGCUCCCUUAGACCAGCCAGGAUCCCGCUCCAUAGGGGAAGAGAAACACUUAGAACUGUCAAUGAAACAGGGAUCCGUUCAGCUAGGAGAAAGGAAGAACCAAAUCGGGGACAACCCCAUCUUUUAAAGGGAAAUGCAUCCAUUCAAGACAGGUACCACUAUAUUGACCAACAAAAUGUGACCAAUGAUAGCAAAACCUCAUUUUGAGAAUGAACUUCCCCACCCCCAGAGGAAAUAAAGGAAAAAAGAGAAAGCGCUGAGCUUUUUCUGGAAGCAGGUGGGGUCCAGUGGUCCUUCCAGCCCAUGCCAGCAAGCCCACAUGGCCACGAGUGAGGAAAAUUCAUCUAAUUUCCCUUCUUCCAUUCCUUCACUCUGCACUUAGACUGCUUCACUUUGUAAUUAGGUCCCUCCACUGAC
RNAcentral lists this long non-coding RNA (2851 nucleotides) under Heterocephalus glaber (naked mole-rat). RNAcentral describes it as "lncRNA (ENSHGLG00100044065.1)". Lineage: Eukaryota; Metazoa; Chordata; Mammalia; Rodentia; Bathyergidae. The record is from RNAcentral.